GUGGGGAAUAUUGGACAAUGGGCGAAAGCCUGAUCCAGCAAUGCCGCGUGAGUGAUGAAGGCCCUAGGGUUGUAAAGCUCUUUUACCCGGGAUGAUAAUGACAGUACCGGGAGAAUAAGCUCCGGCUAACUCCGUGCCAGCAGCCGCGGUAAUACGGAGGGAGCUAGCGUUGUUCGGAAUUACUGGGCGUAAAGCGCGCGUAGGCGGUUUUCCAAGUCAGGGGUGAAAGCCCGGGGCUCAACCCCGGAAUAGCCCUUGAAACUGGAAGACUAGAAUCUUGGAGAGGUCAGUGGAAUUCCGAGUGUAGAGGUGAAAUUCGUAGAUAUUCGGAAGAACACCAGUGGCGAAGGCGACUGACUGGACAAGUAUUGACGCUGAGGUGCGAAAGCGUGGGGAGCAAACAGGAUUAGAAACCCCAGUAGUCC
RNAcentral lists this ribosomal RNA (425 nucleotides) under uncultured bacterium. RNAcentral's name for it is "partial 16S ribosomal RNA". It matches the Rfam family "Bacterial small subunit ribosomal RNA", at positions 354 to 796 of the family's 1533-position model. The record is from RNAcentral.